Molecule: transfer RNA, 73 nt
Filed under: Chloroflexota bacterium
Lineage: Bacteria; Bacillati; Chloroflexota
Description: tRNA-Ala
Rfam family: tRNA
About the family: Transfer RNA (tRNA) molecules are approximately 80 nucleotides in length. Their secondary structure includes four short double-helical elements and three loops (D, anti-codon, and T loops).
Source: RNAcentral
GGGGAUGUGGCUCAAUUGGUAGAGCACUGCCUUUGCAAGGCAGGGGUUGGGGGUUCGAGUCCCCCCAUCUCCA